GCGGCGGACGGGUGAGUAACACGUGGGCAACCUGCCCUACAGAUGGGGAUAACUCCGGGAAACCGGGGCUAAUACCGAAUAAUCAGUUUGCCCGCAUGGACGAACUCUGAAAGACGGUUUCGGCUGUCACUGUAGGAUGGGCCCGCGGCGCAUUAGCUAGUUGGUGGGGUAAUGGCCUACCAAGGCAACGAUGCGUAGCCGACCUGAGAGGGUGAUCGGCCACACUGGGACUGAGACACGGCCCAGACUCCUACGGGAGGCAGCAGUAGGGAAUCUUCCACAAUGGACGAAAGUCUGAUGGAGCAAUGCCGCGUGAGCGAAGAAGGUUUUCGGAUCGUAAAGCUCUGUUGUAAGGGAAGAACAAGUACGGGAGUAACUGCCCGUGCCAUGACGGUACCUUAUUAGAAAGCCACGGCUAACUACGUGCCAGCAGCCGCGGUAAUACGUAGGUGGCAAGCGUUGUCCGGAAUUAUUGGGCGUAAAGCGCGCGCAGGCGGUUCUUUAAGUCUGAUGUGAAAGCCCACGGCUCAACCGUGGAGGGUCAUUGGAAACUGGAGAACUUGAGUACAGAAGAGGAAAGCGGAAUUCCACGUGUAGCGGUGAAAU
This 606-nucleotide ribosomal RNA is filed under the name Sporosarcina sp. I14B-01192. RNAcentral describes it as "bacterial SSU rRNA". It matches the Rfam family "Bacterial small subunit ribosomal RNA", at positions 95 to 687 of the family's 1533-position model. The record is from RNAcentral. Lineage: Bacteria; Bacillati; Bacillota; Bacilli; Caryophanales; Caryophanaceae.